This is a long non-coding RNA of Falco peregrinus (peregrine falcon), 1117 nucleotides long. RefSeq lists it as uncharacterized. The transcript has 2 exons. The record is from RefSeq and is a predicted model, not a curated record. Lineage: Eukaryota; Metazoa; Chordata; Aves; Falconiformes; Falconidae.
AGCGGUUGCUAGGUGACGGUCGGGCGCGGGAAGCGGCGUGCGGGCGGCUGAGGCGCGUGCGGGGCCGUCCCGUCCCCGUCCCCUCGGAGCGCUCGCUGGCUGUGUUCUUUAACUGUAUUUUGGAUGGGAUUUUCUUUUUCUUCAUUGCCAUCUAUAGAAAUUGAUGAAUUUUUUUAGGUAAGUUUUUACACUUAAUUUUCAAUAAUUUCUGAAGUUAUCUUUUUAUCAUCUCCAUAUAUAAUACAGUUUCUCUUUUAUCUCAUGUUUAUUUAGAAUUUGUAAUACAAAAACAUGUUUCUUGUAGCUAAGUCUGUGUGAUAUAAGUAAUGUUUAAAAUGGUUAUGAUAAAAACCCCUAUAUAAUUGAUGGUUUCAGUGCUAGAAAUAAUAGUAGAACUGAAACAGUUUUGGAAGCCUCUUUUGGGUUAUGAUUCACGGGAAUACUAAUAAGGGAUUUUUCAGAAGUAAAGCAUUAAAAAAAAUACUGAAAUGGGAUUAAGAGGAUCAAAAGCUAUUUUUGAAAGUAUGUGAAAAAUCUGUAAUAGAGUUUUAAAAAGAUAAUGUAGAUAAAAGGAAGAACAAUUGAAAUCUUAGUUUAGAAAAUGAAAAUAGAUAUGUUUUCAUUAAGAAUUUUUAGACAUGGUUUAUUUUUUGUAUUCCUAGUAUUAAUGUCCAAAACUAAUUUUUCACUGUUCAUUUCUAGACUUCAGUUAUGUGAUACUGCAUAAAUAUUAAAUGGUAUGAAAAAACUGAUGUAUCUAGAAAUUUUGCUUAUGAUUCUGACUUUUUUUCUUUUUUUUUCUCCUGUGGCUCAAAACUUCCUUUCUUAAAGAGAAACUUUACCCCCUGUGGAACUGUUUUCAUUUUAUCCUGUGGUUUCGUUUUUACUUAAGAGUGUCAUUGAGGUUUUACGUAAUUAGGAGUAAUUAAUAAUUCAUUAAUUGAUUUAUACAACCUUUAAUAAGUUUUUAAUAGGUAGAUAGGAUGCCAUAAAACAUUCUGUCUGCAUGUGCCUACUGACUAUGAAGAACAACUAAUGAUAUACAGCAUGUUUGUAAUAUGUAUUGGUAAUCUUGAACUGUUCGAUAGUCGAAUCUUAAUAAAAACUGUAACCAGAA